This 456-nucleotide ribosomal RNA is filed under the name uncultured bacterium. RNAcentral's name for it is "bacterial SSU rRNA". It matches the Rfam family "Bacterial small subunit ribosomal RNA", at positions 340 to 786 of the family's 1533-position model. The record is from RNAcentral.
UACGGGAGGCAGCAGUGGGGAAUAUUGCACAAUGGGCGAAAGCCUGAUGCAGCUAUGCCGCGUGUAUGAAGAAGGCCUUAGGGUUGUAAAGUACUUUCAUCGGGGAGGAAAAAACAAAACUAAUAAUUUUAUUUCUUGACGUUACCCGAAAAAGAAGCACCGGCUAACUCCGUGCUAGCAGCCGCGGUAAUACGGAGGGUGCUAGCGUUAAUCAGAAUUACUGGGCGUAAAGAGCACGUAGGUGGUUUUUUUAAGUCAGAUGUGAAAUCCCUGGGCUUAACCUAGGAACUGCAUUUUGAAACUGAAAUACUAGAGUAUCGUAGAGGGAGGUAGAAUUCUAGGUGUAGCGGUGAAAUGCGUAGAUAUCUGGAGGAAUACCUGUGGCGAAAGCGGCCUCCUAAACGAAUACUGACACUGAGGUGCGAAAGCGUGGGGAGCAAACAGGGAUUAGAUACC